GACGAACGCUGGCGGCGUGCUUAACACAUGCAAGUCGAACGGAAAGGCCCUUCGGGGUACUCGAGUGGCGAACGGGUGAGUAACACGUGGGUGAUCUGCCCUGCACUUUGGGAUAAGCCUGGGAAACUGGGUCUAAUACCGGAUAGGGCCACGCGCUUCAUGGUGUGUGGUGGAAAGCUUUUGCGGUGUGGGAUGGGCCCGCGGCCUAUCAGCUUGUUGGUGGGGUAAUGGCCUACCAAGGCGACGACGGGUAGCCGGCCUGAGAGGGUGACCGGCCACACUGGGACUGAGAUACGGCCCAGACUCCUACGGGAGGCAGCAGUGGGGAAUAUUGCACAAUGGGCGCAAGCCUGAUGCAGCGACGCCGCGUGAGGGAUGACGGCCUUCGGGUUGUAAACCUCUUUCGCCAGGGACGAAGCGCAAGUGACGGUACCUGGAGAAGAAGGACCGGCCAACUACGUGCCAGCCGCCGCAGUAA
Molecule: ribosomal RNA, 478 nt
Filed under: uncultured bacterium
Lineage: Bacteria
Description: partial 16S ribosomal RNA
Rfam family: Bacterial small subunit ribosomal RNA
Source: RNAcentral